Molecule: ribosomal RNA, 1129 nt
Filed under: Hypoxylon sp. genotype 300
Lineage: Eukaryota; Fungi; Ascomycota; Sordariomycetes; Xylariales; Hypoxylaceae
Description: eukaryotic LSU rRNA
Rfam family: Eukaryotic large subunit ribosomal RNA (bases 542-1129)
Source: RNAcentral
GGAUCAUUACCGAGUUGCAUAAACUCCAAAACCCUAUGUGAACCUUACCGUCGUUGCCUCGGCGUGAGCCGCGGCUACCCGGGAGCUACCCUGGAGGCGCUACCCUGUAGCGUCUACCCGGGAGCUGCCCCGUAGCCGGCCCACGGCCCGCCGGAGGACCGCCGAACUCUUGCAUUUCUGACACUGUAUCUCUGAACGCGUAACUGAAACAAGUUAAAACUUUCAACAACGGAUCUCUUGGUUCUGGCAUCGAUGAAGAACGCAGCGAAAUGCGAUAAGUAAUGUGAAUUGCAGAAUUCAGUGAAUCAUCGAAUCUUUGAACGCACAUUGCGCCCGCUAGCAUUCUGGCGGGCAUGCCUAUUCGAGCGUCAUUUCGACCCUUAAGCCCCUGUUGCUUAGCGUUGGGAGUCUACGGCUGCGGCGUAGUUCCCGAAAGUCAGUGGCGGAGUUGGGGCACACCCUCGGCGUAGUAAGUUUUCCCUCGCCUGCGUGGUGGCCCCGGCUGCUGGCCGUUAAACGACCCCUAUAUCUUUCUAGUGGUUGGCCUCGAAUUAGGUAGGAAUACCCGCUGAACUUAAGCAUAUCAAUAAGCGGAGGAAAAGAAACCAACAGGGAUUGCCCUAGUAACGGCGAGUGAAGCGGCAACAGCUCAAAUUUGAAAUCUGGCCCUCGCGGUCCGAGUUGUAAUUUGUAGAGGAUGCUUUAGGCGCGGCGCCUUCCGAGUUCCCUGGAACGGGACGCCGGAGAGGGUGAGAGCCCCGUACGGUUGGACGCCUAGCCUGCGUAUAGCUCCUUCGACGAGUCGAGUAGUUUGGGAAUGCUGCUCUAAACGGGAGGUAAAUUUCUUCUAAAGCUAAAUACCGGCCAGAGACCGAUAGCGCACAAGUAGAGUGAUCGAAAGAUGAAAAGCACUUUGAAAAGAGGGUUAAAUAGCACGUGAAAUUGUUGAAAGGGAAGCGUUUGCGACCAGACCUUUUCCGGGGGGAUCAGCCGGCGUUCUCGACGGUGCACUCCCUCCGGGUUUAGGCCAGCAUCGGUUCCCUUAGGGGGAUAAAGGCCUGGGGAAAGUAGCUCCUCAGGGAGUGUUAUAGCCCCUCGCGUAAUACCCCUCGGGGGACCGAGGACCGCG